Molecule: small RNA, 127 nt
Filed under: Marmota monax (woodchuck)
Lineage: Eukaryota; Metazoa; Chordata; Mammalia; Rodentia; Sciuridae
Source: RNAcentral
GCCAGGUCUAGUGGUGUACACCUGUAAUCCCAGCAACUUGGAAGGUUGAGGCAGGAGGAUCGCAAGUUCAAAGCCAGCCUCAGCAACCUAGCAAGGCCCAAAGCAACUUAGUGAGACCCUGUCUCAA